GAAAUGCGGUAAGUAAUGUGAAUUGCAGAAUUCAGUGAAUCAUCGAAUCUUUGAACGCACAUUGCGCCCGCCAGUAUUCUGGCGGGCAUGCCUGUCCGAGCGUCAUUUCAACCAUCAAGCCCCCGGGCUUGUGUUGGGGACCUGCGGCUGCCCGCAGGCCCUGAAAACCAGUGGCGGGCUCGCUGUCACACCGAGCGUAGUAGCAAUCACCUCGCUCAGGGCGUGCUGCGGGUUCCGGCCGUUAAACAGCCUUACAAAACCCAAGGUUGACCUCGGAUCAGGUAGGAAGACCCGCUGAACUUAAGC
This 306-nucleotide unclassified non-coding RNA is filed under the name plant metagenome. Its description in RNAcentral is "partial contains 5.8S ribosomal RNA, internal transcribed spacer 2, and large subunit ribosomal RNA". The stretch from base 1 to 105 matches the Rfam family "5.8S ribosomal RNA", at positions 50 to 154 of the family's 154-position model. The record is from RNAcentral.